UCCUCCCUCUGGCGGCGUGCUUAACACAUGCAAGUCGAACGGAAAGGCCCCUUUGGGGGUACUCGAGUGGCGAACGGGUGAGUAACACGUGAGUAACCUGCCCUUGACUUCGGGAUAACUUCAGGAAACUGGGGCUAAUACCGGAUAGGAAUCCUUGCUGCAUGGUGGGGGUUGGAAAGCUUCGGCGGUUUUGGAUGGACUCGCGGCUUAUCAGCUUGUUGGUGGGGUAGUGGCUUACCAAGGCUUUGACGGGUAGCCGGCCUGAGAGGGCGACCGGCCACAUUGGGACUGAGAUACGGCCCAGACUCCUACGGGAGGCAGCAGUGGGGAAUAUUGCACAAUGGGCGGAAGCCUGAUGCAGCAACGCCGCGUGCGGGAUGACGGCCUUCGGGUUGUAAACCGCUUUCAGCAGGGGCGAAGCUUGUGGUGACGGUACCUGCAGAAGAAGCACCGGCUAACUACGUG
Molecule: ribosomal RNA, 465 nt
Filed under: uncultured bacterium
Lineage: Bacteria
Description: partial 16S ribosomal RNA
Rfam family: Bacterial small subunit ribosomal RNA
Source: RNAcentral